UACAGAGGGUGCGAGCGUUGUCCGGAAUCACUGGGCGUAAAGGGUGCGUAGGUGGCUUGGUAAGCGUGUGGUGAAAGUCCGGGGCUCAACCCCGGAUCUGCCGUGCGAACUGCCGAGCUCGAGCAUUGUAGAGGCAGGUGGAAUUUCGGGUGUAGCGGUGGAAUGCGUAGAGAUCCGAAAGAACACCAGUGGCGAAGGCGGCCUGCUGGGCAAUUGCUGACACUGAGGCACGACAGCGUGGGGAGCAAACAGG
Molecule: ribosomal RNA, 253 nt
Filed under: uncultured bacterium
Lineage: Bacteria
Description: partial 16S ribosomal RNA
Rfam family: Bacterial small subunit ribosomal RNA
Source: RNAcentral